CCUACGGGGGGCAGCAGUGAGGAAUAUUGGUCAAUGGACGAGAGUCUGAACCAGCCAAGUAGCGUGAAGGAUGACUGCCCUACGGGUUGUAAACUUCUUUUAUAUGGGAAUAAAAUGAUCCACGUGUGGGAUUUUGUAUGUACCAUAUGAAUAAGGAUCGGCUAACUCCGUGCCAGCAGCCGCGGUAAUACGGAGGAUCCGAGCGUUAUCCGGAUUUAUUGGGUUUAAAGGGAGCGUAGGUGGAUUGUUAAGUCAGUUGUGAAAGUUUGCGGCUCAACCGUAAAAUUGCAGUUGAAACUGGAAGUCUUGAGUACAGUAUAGGUAGGCGGAAUGCGUGGUGUAGCGGUGAAAUGCUUAGAUAUCACGAAGAACUCCGAUUGCGAAGGCAGCUCACUGGACUGCAACUGACACUGAGGCUCGAAAGUGUGGGUAUCAAACAGGAUUAGAUACCCGAGUAGUC
Molecule: ribosomal RNA, 460 nt
Filed under: uncultured bacterium
Lineage: Bacteria
Description: partial 16S ribosomal RNA
Rfam family: Bacterial small subunit ribosomal RNA
Source: RNAcentral